GGCCUAUUAGCUUAGUUGGUUAGAACGUCGUGCUAAUAACGCGAAAGUCGCAGGUUCGAGACCAGCAUGGGCCA
Transfer RNA from Ipomoea nil (Japanese morning glory), 74 nucleotides. It matches the Rfam family "tRNA". From Rfam's summary of the family: Transfer RNA (tRNA) molecules are approximately 80 nucleotides in length. Their secondary structure includes four short double-helical elements and three loops (D, anti-codon, and T loops). The record is from Rfam. Lineage: Eukaryota; Viridiplantae; Streptophyta; Magnoliopsida; Solanales; Convolvulaceae.